RNAcentral lists this long non-coding RNA (293 nucleotides) under Brassica rapa (field mustard). RNAcentral describes it as "long non-coding RNA (BRAP_LNC004726)". The record is from RNAcentral. Lineage: Eukaryota; Viridiplantae; Streptophyta; Magnoliopsida; Brassicales; Brassicaceae.
CUUUAAAUUAAAUACUAAAUAUAUAAGUAACUCAAAAAUCUUAAUUGGUUAAUUCAACUAACUUAUCGCAGUUACCCUUUCUAAGAAAAAAACUAACUUAUCUCAGUUGCAUGUUAGAGUGAUAAAAGAACAGAACAAAACCGUUAAUUUUAGAUAUUUUUCAUUUUACAUCAUCAAAUAAUGUAAAACUCGUCUCAUUUCUAUAUAAAUAAUUUAUGAAACUCAUCAUCAAAUAUAGUGCACAAAAAAAAAAAAAAAAAACUCAUCAUCAAAUAUACGAAACCAAAUUUCCC